UUCUCUAGGAGAGUUUCCAUUUCUGGUUUCUCCUCUUCAAUUGCUGGUUUGUCAUGUUUCUCUUCAACAGCUAUCUCUUCAGAGGUCUCUUCAACCAUUGGUUCUUCAGGUUUCUCUUCAAGUGGUAGUUCAGGUGUUUCCUCCCCUGCUAGCUCUUCAGGUGUUUCUUUAGUUGUUGGUUCUUCAAGUUUCUCUUCAACAGUUGGUUCUUUAGGUUUCUCCUCAACUGGUUCUUCAGAUUUCUCCUCAAUUGUUGGUUCUUCAGGUUUCUCCAUAAUUGCUGGUAUAUCAAGUUUCUCUUCAAUAACCGGUUUUUCCACAGCUGCUGGUUUUUCAGGGUUUUUCUCAUCUUCUAGAAAGUGAGCAGCAUUGUUGCUAGUAUUGCAGGGAAUUUUAUUGUCAGUUUUUUCCUUCGAGUCUGCAACUAGCAAAUUCUGUAAGAAGAAUUUAAAGUUUCACUUAGUCUUUCAGUAGAUAAGCAGAUGUAAAUUGUUGUACAUACAUAACUAAUAGGACAGAUAAACUUUAUGACAGUGCUUGACCCUUGCCUUAUCCAAAAGAGUUACCUUUUCUGGUUUCUCCUCUUCACCUGUUGGUUCUUCAGGUUUCACCUCUUCAACUGCUGGCUCUUCAGGUUUUUCUUCACAUGCUAGUUCAUUAGGUGUUUCUUCCCGUGUUGAUUCUUUGGGUGUCUCUUCAGUUAUUGUCUUUUCAGGUUUCUCUUCAACCUUUGGUUCUUCAAGUUUCUCCUCUGCCAAUGGUUCUUCAAAUUUCUCCUCCACAGUUGGUUUUUCACGUUCUUCUUCAACUGCCAGUUCUUCAAGUUUUUUCUCAACCGCUGGUUCUUCAGGCUUCUCCAUAACAGCCAAUACUUCAGAUUUUUCUUCAAUCAUUGUUUCAUCAUUAUCUUUUUCAACUACUAGUUCUUGAGGUUUUUCCUCGACUGAUUCAUAGUCAGCAAUAUCAUUGUUGGUAUUGCAAGGAAUUGCAUUAUCUAUCUUGUCCUUUGGGUCUUCCAUUGGAAAAUUCUGCAAGAAAUUUAGAGUUCUACUUAGUAUUUAAAUAGAUAAACAUAUGUAAAUUCGUUGCACAUAUAAAGCCUAAUUUGAUGAAUAAACUUUGUGACAAUGUUUAAUCCUGACCUUCUCUAGAAGAGCUUCUGUUUCAGGUUUCUCCUCUUCAACAAUUAGUUCUUUAGGUGUCUUUUCAACCGUUGGUUCUUCAGUUUUCUCUUCAAGUGCUAAUUCUUCAGGUGUUUCCUCCCCUUCUAGCUCUUCAGGUGUUUCUUCAGCCGCUGGUUCUUGAGGUUCCUCCUCAACCACUGGUUCUUCAGGUUUCUCCUUAACCGCUGGUACAUCAAGUUUCUCUUCAAUAGUUGGUUCUUCAGGUUUUUCUUCAACUACUGACUCUUCAAGAUUUUCCUCAACUUGUGGAGGGUGAGCAACAUCAUUAUUGGUAUUGCAUGGAGUUUCACUGCCAGUUUUGUCGUUUGAGUCUACAACUAGCAUAUUCUGCGAAAGAAUUUAAUGUUUCACUUAGUCUAUCAAUGAAGAAGCAGAUGUGAAUCAUUGCACAUACAUAACUAAUAAGAUGGAUAAACUUUGUGACAGUGCUUGACCUCACCUUUUUGGAUGUCUCCUCUUCAAGUGCUGGUUUCUCUUCAAAUAAUAGUUCGUUAGGUGUUUCUUCCCGUUUUGGUUCUUCAGGUGCUUCUUCAGUUAUUGGUUUUGCAGCUUUCUCCUCAAUUGUCUCCUCAACCAAUGGUUCUUCAAGCUUCUCUUCCAUUGUUGUUUCUUUAGGUUUCUCUUCAAUUGCCGGUGGUUCAGGUUUUUUCUCAUCCACUGGUUCUUCUGGCUUCUCUGAAACUGCUGUUUCUUCUGAUUUCUCUUCAAUUGCUUGUUCUUCAUGUUUUUUUUCAACUACUGGCUCUUCAGUUUUUUCCUCAACUGAUGCAUAGUCAGCAAUGUCGUUGGUAUUGCAUGGAAUUGCAUUGUCUGUCUUGUCCUUUGAGUUUACAAUUGGCAAAUUAUGCAAGAAAAUUUUAAGUUUCAUUUAGUCUUUCAACAGAUAAACUUAUGUAAAUUCGUUGCACAUAUAAAGCUAAUAUGAUGGAUAGUUUUUAUGACAGUGUUUAUUUGUCACCUUCUCCUGAAGAGCUUCUGUUUCAGGUUCUUCCUCUUCAAUUGCUGGUUUUUCAUCUUUCUUUUCAACAACUAGUUCUUCAGAUGUGUCUUCAACUGUUGGUUCUUCAGGUUUCUCUUCAAGAGCUAGUUCUUCAGGUGUUUCCUCCCCUGCAAGCUCUUCAGGUGUUUCUAUAGUCGCCGGUUCUUCAGGUUUCUCUGUAAUCUCUAGUUCAGGUUUCUCCUCAACUGGUACUUCAGAUUUCUCCUCAAAUGUUGGUUCUUCAGGUUUCUCCUUAAUAGCUGGUACACCAGGUUUCUCUUCAAUGAGUGGUUCUUCAGUUUUUUCUUCAACUGCCGAUUCUUCAGGAUUUUCCUCACUGUCUGGAGAGUGUGCAACAUCAUUAUUGGUAUUGCAUGGGAUUUCACUGCCAGUUUUUUCGUUCGAGUCUACAAUUAGCAUAUUCUGCAAAAAGAAUUUAAUGUUUCACUUAGCCUUUCAAUAAAGAUGCAGAUGUGAAUCAUAGUACAUACAUAACUAACAAAAUGGAUAAACUUUGUGAUAGUGCUUGACCCUUACCUUUUCCAAAAGAGUUACCUUUUCAGGUUUCUCCUCUUCCAUGGCUGGUUCUUCAUGUAUCUCUUCAAAUGCUAGUUCCUUAGGUGUUUCUUCAAUUACUUGUUUUUCAGGUUUCUCCUCAAUUUUUGGUUCUUUGAUUGUCUCCUCAACUGAUGGUACUUCAAGCUUUUCUCCCACGGUUGGUUUUUCAGGUUUCUCUUCAACUGUCGGUUGUUCAGGUAUUUUCUCAACCGCUGGUUCUUCUGGUUUCCCCGAAACCCUUGAUUCUUCAGAUUUUUCUUCAAUUGCUGAUUCUUCAGAUAUCUCUUCAACUAUUGCUUCUUCAGUUUUUUCCUCAACUGAUGCAUAGUCAGCAAUGUCAUUGUUGGUAUUGCAUGGAAUUGCAUUGUCUAUUGUGUUCUUUGAGUUUACAAUUGGAAAAUUCUGCAAGAAAAUUUAAAGUUUCAUCUAGUCUUUCAAUAGAUAAACAUGUAAAUGCGUUGCACAUAUAAAGCUAAUAUGCUGAAUAAACUUUGUGAGAGUUAAUUCUCACCUUCUCCUUAAGAGCUUCCAUUUCAGGUUCCUCCUCUUCAAUUGCUGUUUUUUCAACUUUCUCUUCAACAACUAGCUCUUCAGAUGUAUCUUCAACCGUUGGUUCUUCAGGUUUCUCUUCAAGUGCUAGUUCUUCAGGUGUUUCUAUUGCUGCCGGUUCUUGAGGUUUCUCUUCAGUCUCUGGUUCUUGAGGUUUCUCCUCAGCUGGUACUUCAGAUUUCUCCUCAAAUGUUGGUUUCUCCUCAACUGCUGGUACAUCAGGUUUCUCUUCAAUGACUAGUUCUUCAUUUUUUAUUUCAACUGCCGGUUCUUCAGAAUUUUCCUCAAUGUCUGGAGAGUGAGCAACAUCAUUAUUGGUAUUGCAUGGAAUUUCACUGCCAGUUUUGGUGUUCGAGUCUACAAUUAGCAUAUUCUGCAAAAAGACUUUAAUGUUUCACUUAGCCUUUCAAAAGAAGAGCAUGUGAAUCACUGUACAUGCAUAACUAACAAAAUGGAUAUACUUUGUGAUAGUACUUGACCCUUACCUUUUCCAAAAGAGUUACCUUUUCAGGUUUCUCCUCUUUCAUUGCUGGCUCUUUAUGUAUCUCUUCUAAUGCUAGUUCCUUGGGUGUUUCUUCAGUUACUUGUUUAUCAGGUUUCUCCUCAAUUUUUGGUUCUUUGAUCGUCUCCUCAACUGAUGGUUCUUCAAGCUUUUCUCCCACUGUUGGUGUUUCAGGUUUCUCUUCGAUUGUCGGUUGUUCAGGUAUUUUCUCAACCGGUGGUUCUUCUGGUUUCUCCAAAACCCUUGAUUCUUCAGAUUUCUCUUCAAUAGCUGAUUCUUCAGAUAUCUCUUCAACUUCUGGUUCUUCAGUAUUUUCCUCAACUGAUGCAUAGUCAGCAAUGUCAUUGUUGGUAUUGCAUGGAAUUGCAUUGUCUGUUGUGUUCUUUGAGUUUACAAUUGGCAAAUUCUGCAAGAAAAUUUGAAGUUCCAUUUAGUCUUUCAAUAGAUGAAACAUAUUUAAAUUCAUUGCACUUAUAAAGUUAAUAUGCUGAAUAAACUUUGUGACAGUGUUAAUUGUCACCUUCUCCUGAAGAGCUUCCGUUUCAGGUUCCUCCUCUUCAAUUGCUGGUUUUUCAUCUUUCUCUUCAACAACUAGCCCUUCAGAUGUAUCUUCAACUGUUAGUUCUUCAGGUUUCCCUUCAAGUGCUAGUUCUUCAGCUGUUUCUAUAGCUGCUGGUUUUUCAGGUUUCUCUUCAGUUGCCGGUUCUUGAGGUUUCUCCUCAGCUGGUACUUCAGAUUUCUCCUCAAAUUUUGGUUCUUCAGGUUUCUCCUCAACUGCUGGUACAUCAGGUUUCUCUUCAAUGACUGGUUCUUCAUUUUUUAUUUCAACUGCCGAUUCUUCAGGAUUUUCCUCGAUGUCUGGAGAGUGAGCAACAUCAUUAUUGGUAUUGCAUGGAAUUUCACUGCCAGUUUUGGUGUUCGAGUCUACAAUUAGCAUAUCCUGCAAAAAGAAUUUAAUGUUUCACCUAGCCUUUCAAAAAAAGAUCAUGUGAAUCACAGUACAUGCAUAACUAACAAAAUGGAUAAACUUUGUUAUUAUACUUGACCCUUACCUUUUCCGAAAGAGUUACCUUUUCAUGUUUCUCCUCUUCAACGGUUGGUUCGUCAUGUUUCUCUUCAAAUGAUAGUUCCUUAGGUGUUCCUUCAGGUUUCUCCUCAAUUGUUGGUUCUUUGGUUGUCUCUCCAACCAAUGGUUCUUCAAGCUUUUCUCCUCCAACUGUUGGGUUUUCAGGUUUCUCUUCAAUUGUCGGCUGUUUAGGUAUUUUCUCAACCUCUGGUUCUUCUGGUUUCUCCAAAACCCUUGAUUCUUCAGACUUCUCUUCAAUAGCUGAUUCUUCAGAUUUCUCUUCAACUACUGGUUCUUCAGUUUUUUCCUCAACUAAUGCAUAGUUAGCAAUGUCAUUGUUGGUAUUGCAUGGAAUUGCAUUGUCUGUAUUGUCCUCUGCGUUUACAAUCGGCAAUUUCUGCAAGAAAAUUUAAAGUUUCAUUUUGUCUUUAAAUAGAUAAACAUAUAUUAAUUCGUUGCACAUAUAAAGCUUAUAUGGUGGAUUAACUUUGUGACAGUAUUUAAUCCUCACCUUCUCCUGAAGAGCUUUCCUAACAAGUUCCUCCUCUUCAAUAGCUGUUUCUUCAUCUUUCUCUUCAAGAACUAGUUCUUCAGGUGUCUCUUCAAGUGCUAGUUCUUCAGGUGCUUCCUCCUUUGCUAGCUCUUCAGCUGUUUCUUUAGCUGCCGCUUCUUCAGGUCUCUCUUUAGACGCCGGUUCUUGAGGUUUCUCCUCAACCAGUACUUCAGAUUUCUCCUCAAAUGUUGGUUCUUCAGGUUUCUCCUUAACUGCUGGUACAUCAGGUUUCUGUUCAAUGACUGAUUCUUCAGUUUUUUCUUCAACUGCCGACACUUCAGGAUUUUCCUCAAUGUCUGGAAAGUGAGCAACAUCAUUACCGGUAUUGCAUGGAAUUUCACUACCAGUUUUGUCGUUCAAGUCUACAAUUAGCAUAGUCUGCAAAAUGAAGUGAAUGUUUACUUUGCCUUCCAAUAAAGAAGCAGAUGUGAAUCACAGUACAUACAUGACUUAAACUUUGUGAUAGUGCUUGACCCUUACUUUUUCAGGUUUCUCCUCUUCAACGGCUGGUUCUUCAUGUUUCUCUCCAACUGCUGGUUUUUCAGGUUUCUCUUCAACUGUCGGUUGUUCAGUUUUUUUCUCAACCACUAGUUCUUCAAGCUUCUCCGAAACAACUGAUUCUUCAGAUUUAUCUUCAAUUGCUAAUUCUUCAUGUGUUUUUCCAACUACUGGUUCGUUAGGUUUUUCCUCAACUGAUGCAUAGUUAGCAAUAUCAUUAUUGGUGGUAUUGCAUGGAAUUGCAUCGUCUAUCUUGUCCUUUGAGUCUACAAUUGGCAAAUUCUGCAAGAAAAUUGAAGUUUCACUUAGUCUUUUGACAGAUAAACAGAUGUAAAUUCAUUGCACAUAUAAAGCUAAUAUGAUGGAUAGACUUUGUGGUAGUGUUUAAUCUUCACCUUCUCCAGAAGCCCUUCUGUUAAAGGUUUCUCCUCCUCCAUUACUGCUGGUUUUUCAGGUAUGUCUUCAACCAUUGGUUCUUCAGGUUUCUCUUCAAAUGCUAGUUCUUCAUGUGUUUCCUCCCCUGCUAGCUCUUCAUGUGUUUCUUUCGCUGUCGGUUCCUUAGGUUUCUUUUCAGCCGCUGGUUCUUCAGGUUUCUCCUCAACCGUUGGUUCUUCAGGUUUCUCUUUAAUCUCUGAUACAUCACGUUUCUCUUCAAAAACUGGGUUUUCUGGUUUUUCUUCAACUGCUGGUUCUUCGGUUAUUUUCUCAGUUUUUGGAUAGUGAGCAGCAUCGUUGUUGGUAUUGCAUGGAAUUUCACUAUCAGUGUUGUCCUUAGAGUCUACAACUAGCAUUUUCUGCAAGAAGAAUUUAAAGUUUCUCUUAGUCUUUCAAGAGAUAACCAGACAUGAAUUGUUGGACAUACAUAACUAAUAGGAUGGAUAAACUUCUUGAUAAUACUUGACCCUCACCUUUUCCAAAAGAGAUACUUUUUUGGGUUUCUCCUCUUCAACUGCUGGUUUCUCUUCAAAUGCUAGUUCAUUUUGUUCCUGUGUUGGUUCUUCAGGUGUUUCUUCAGUUAUUGGGUUUUCAGGUUUCUCUUCAAAUGCUUGUUCAUUUGGUGUUUCUUCCUGUGUUGGUUCUUCAGGUGCUUCUUCAGUUACUGGUUUUUCAGGUUUAUCUUCAACUGCUGGUUCUUCUAGUGUCUCCUCAAUCGAUGGUUCUUCAAGUUCCUCUCUUGCUACUGGUUUUUCAGAUUUCUCUUCAACUGCUGGUUGUUCAGGUUUUUUCAUAACCACUGACUCUUCAGAUCUCUCUUCAAUUGCUGGUUCUUCAGUUUUUUCCUCAACUGAUUCAUAAUCGGCAAUAGCAUUGUUGGUAAUGCAUUGAAUUGCAUUGUCUGUCUUGUUCUUUGACUUUUCAAUUGGUGAAUUCUGCAAAAAUAAAUAAAUUGAAGUUUCAUUUAGUCUUUCAAUGGAUAAAACAGAUGUAAAUUCGUUACGCAUAUAAAGCUAAUAUGAUGGAUAAACUUUGUGAAAGUGUUUAAUCCUCACAUUCUCCUGAAGAGCUUCCGUUUCAGGUUUCUCCUCUUCAAUUGCUUUCUUUUCAGCUUUCUCUUCAACAUCUAGUUCUUCAAGUGUCUCUUCAACGGUUGGUUCUCUAGGUUUCUCUUCAAGGGCUAGCUCUUCAGGCAUUUCCUCCUCUGCUAGUUCUUCAGGUGUUUCUUUAGCUGUUGGUUCUUCAGGUUUCUCUCCAGCCUCUGGUUUUCGAGUUUUCUCCUCAAAUGAUUCUUCAGAUUUUUCCUCAACCUUUGGUUCUUCACGUUUCUCCCUAACCAUUGGUAAAUCAGGUUUCUCUAGUUUUUCAGGUUUUUCUUCAACUGCUGGUUCCUCAAAUUCUGCAAAGUUAGCAGCAUCAUUGUUGGUAUUGCAUGGAAGUUCAUUCUCACUUUUGUCGUUUGAGUCUACAACUUGUAUUUUCU
This 7807-nucleotide long non-coding RNA is filed under the name Solanum tuberosum (potato). RNAcentral's name for it is "long non-coding RNA (STUB_LNC003301)". The record is from RNAcentral. Lineage: Eukaryota; Viridiplantae; Streptophyta; Magnoliopsida; Solanales; Solanaceae.